UACGGAGGAUGCGAGCGUUAUCCGGAUUUAUUGGGUUUAAAGGGUGCGCAGGCGGCGAGUUAAGUCAGCGGUAAAAUUUCGGGGCCCAACCCCGCCGAGCCGUCGGAACUGGGGGCCUUGAGUGCGGCGGAGGCAUGCGGAAUGCGCGGUGUAGCGGUGAAAUGCAUAGAUAUCGCGCAGAACCCCGAUUGCGAAGGCAGCUUACCGGCGCUCAACUGACGCUGAGGCACGAAAGUGCGGGUAUCGAACAGG
This 252-nucleotide ribosomal RNA is filed under the name uncultured Bacteroidales bacterium. Its description in RNAcentral is "partial 16S ribosomal RNA". It matches the Rfam family "Bacterial small subunit ribosomal RNA", at positions 524 to 776 of the family's 1533-position model. The record is from RNAcentral. Lineage: Bacteria; Pseudomonadati; Bacteroidota; Bacteroidia; Bacteroidales.